Molecule: long non-coding RNA, 580 nt
Filed under: Vulpes vulpes (red fox)
Lineage: Eukaryota; Metazoa; Chordata; Mammalia; Carnivora; Canidae
Description: lncRNA (ENSVVUG00000014125.1)
Source: RNAcentral
GUUUUCUACUCCUUUUAUUAAAUUUGCCUCAUUAGUGUUGUCUCCUUUGAGUAGAUCAUCUCUUUCUUAGUGGGGUUUUGAUGACUACAACCACAAAACAAGAAAGUGAGAACUCAGGAAACACAGCAGAAGGAUGGCGUAGGAACUAGAAGAAAAUGUGAUAAAUAUUUGGUGUCAUGAGAUGAAGAAAAUCAACCAUAAUGAGGAAAGAAGGAUGCUGUCAUCCUUAUUAUGCACCCUUGUGGAUUUGGAGGAGGUGGUGGGGUUCUUGACGCACAUCAUUUGCUUCCACAAAUCUCCAAAGUGAUGUCUCCUUUCCUAGAGCUGCUUUCCCAGCUGGCUCCAAUGGUUGAAGUUAAAAGGUUUAAAAAUCCCAUUAAUUUGGCAGCCUGGGUGGCUCAGCGGUUUAGCUCCACCUUCAGCCCAGGGCAUGAUCCUGGAGACCUGGGAUUGAGUCCCACAUCCAGUUCCCUGCAUGGAACCUGCUUCUCCCUCUGCCUGUGUCUCUGCCUCUCUCUCUCUCUCUGUCUCUCAUGAAUAAAUAAAUAAAAUCUUAAAAAAAAAAUAAAAAUAAAAACCC